Molecule: small RNA, 68 nt
Filed under: Chryseobacterium vrystaatense
Lineage: Bacteria; Pseudomonadati; Bacteroidota; Flavobacteriia; Flavobacteriales; Weeksellaceae
Description: Flavo-1 RNA
Rfam family: Flavo-1 RNA
Source: RNAcentral
CCCUAGCCCUGAUUGCAGUGGAAAUCCUUUUUUGAAAAAAAAGAUUGCAACGAAAAGCGGGAAACAGC